UCUUUCAACAGCCAAGAAUCAGUCCACUCAUCUUCAAUUCAGCAUUGUAAACUUCAAUUUAUCUUCAAUAUAAUCGGCUUCUUUCAAUUCAGCAUUAACUGCAUGCCUCCUACCCCAUUAAUUCUGUAUUAACAUGUUACAACUAAUCUGCAUUAAACUCCUACCAAUAUUCCUCCAUCUGACUUCCAAUAAAACCCCACUACUCCCCAUCCCCAACAUGCCUCACAAAGAGUUGAUGAUACCAAACUUCCUGCUGCAUCUGCAGUCAUUCAUUUUUCUCCGCAAUCGCAAACCGAAGCUCACAGUAACCAAAUCAGACCGGACUUCCUUUCUGACAAAUAUUACGUUGUUGAUGUCGGAUACCCAAAUACUAAAGGGUAUCUUGCUCCAUACAAAGGUCAAACCAUUCGUUAUCGUAUACCGAAAUUUCAACGUGGACAAAGUAGUGUUAUGCGUGCUCCUCGCGGACCAAAAGAGACAUUUAACUAUCACCACUCGGCAUUGCGGAAUAUCAUUGAACGAACCUUUGGAGUAUGGAAAGCUAGGUGGGCGUUAUUGAGAGAUAUACAUGUUAACUACACAUACGAGCACCAAGUGAGUAUUGUGAUAACAUCGAUGGCGAUCCAUAACUUUGUUAAAAAACCUUUAACACGACCCAACAAGAAUCUUACAAUCCCAGCAGUACUAGUGAUGAACUUCAUGAAGAAGUUUCGUCUACAAAUCGUAUGGAUGAUGAUGAUGGUAUGUAUAUGGUAGCGAUAAGAGAUAUGAUUGUGCAAGAUAUAAUGGAAUCACGAAGAAGAACAUAGUAUGACAUUAGUUUGUUAUUCUUGUGCAUUUUUUUGUGUUUUUUAGCAAUCUGAAUGUAAUAUUAUUAUGUUCUAAUUAGGAAAUUAUAAAAUAUGUAAACAUAUUUUAUGUUAUAUAUUUCUUGAAGUUGUUUUUCAA
Molecule: long non-coding RNA, 948 nt
Organism: Helianthus annuus (common sunflower)
Lineage: Eukaryota; Viridiplantae; Streptophyta; Magnoliopsida; Asterales; Asteraceae
Exons: 2
Source: RefSeq, a predicted model, not a curated record